UCUAUACCCUUAUAUUCCCAACUGCUAACCGCUUCUUGAUUAUUCCCUUUGUGAAUGGUGGUGAGACGAAACGCACACCUUCCAAUUGCCUUGUGGUGAGUGAGGUACCAUUGGAUGUGUAUAUUCAUACGGGGCUUCCUUUCGGAAGGUCGCCGAUCUCGAAUAUUGAGAAUCUACUUCCUCUAGCCAAUGAGGACUAGAUUUAUCUUCUUGGUGUUGUUCCCCCUUUGUCUUGAGUUCCAAAGUGAGCAAUUGAAACUACGCUGGCUCACCAACACUUUUGGUCAUGUCAUCCCAGCUACCAACGAAGUUGCUCUUUAAAAGGCUCGCGCUAUAUAUGAUCCUUUUCACCCUAGGCUCGUUCCUUUUCUGCCAUGGGAACGAGCGGAUGCGUGCUUGGUUCGCUUAACCGAGGAUAUUUCGUCAUCGUACAACUGAAAUGCUGUCAUCUUAGCUCGACUUUACCAUGGUCUUGACAAAGUUUCCCGCACCACCGAGUCUUUCACAGACUUCUAGCCUUUGGUUGAGCAUCACAACUUAAAGAUCAAGAUCCCCAACUUAUCGGUUGACAAUGGUCCCAACGUAUCUCAGCAGCUAGCUGGAGAGCCGUUAUUGACGGUCUUUCUUGGAGAGAUCCUUACACUUGUGUAGCUGUGUAUAUAUGGCCUUUCGGGGCUGAAGCUCUUGCCAGGUCAUGCCAGUGUCGCCUCCUUGCAGAUCCGAAGACUUACAAAUGGUAUCUAGGUGAGCGACUUCUCCGACAAAUGACAAAAUCCAUUCGGUUCCGCUCACACCUCUCGAGCCAGCUUUAUGGAGGCAGGUACUCGCAGACGAGUUUCUUGCUGCAGUCAAUGAUCUUCCGUCUAAACACUUCAUCAUUCCUGCUCCGCAUGCUGACUGCAGGGAGCAGGAGUGCAAAGAUGAGGAUGACGAUGACGACUACAUCGGUGGAUAUUAGGGUUUCUUCAUGCCUUCUUAUCAGCUUGUGUCUCUUUUCAUGUACUGGUGUUUUCCUUGUGUAUGGUUGGAUUUGUUGAAUUAAUGAAAUGGGUUUCUUGAUCAAUGAUUAGAUCACUUUGGGUGCUGAUGUGUUCACUUAAACCUUUAUUUUGAUGCUUUCCUGCAUUGGAAUGACUUUCGUCGGCUUGGAUUUGACUCUGACAGCCUAGAUUAUCAAUUGCCAUUUUGAUCGAGGGUUGGUCACUUUCUUGCUUAACAGAGCUUCUUUUAGUCUUCUUCUUUGUUAUCUGGUGCUUUGAAAGAGUGUUAUACGAUCCGGAUCGAGUUUCGUUCAAGUCUGAGGGUCGUCCGAGUUAUGGGCGGCAAAACUG
This is a long non-coding RNA of Magnolia sinica, 1331 nucleotides long. RefSeq lists it as uncharacterized. The transcript is spliced from 3 exons. The record is from RefSeq and is a predicted model, not a curated record. NCBI's taxonomy places the organism in Eukaryota, Viridiplantae, Streptophyta, Magnoliopsida, Magnoliales, Magnoliaceae.